RNAcentral lists this ribosomal RNA (497 nucleotides) under uncultured bacterium. RNAcentral's name for it is "partial 16S ribosomal RNA". It matches the Rfam family "Bacterial small subunit ribosomal RNA", at positions 28 to 507 of the family's 1533-position model. The record is from RNAcentral.
GAUGAACGCUGGCGGCGUGCCUAAUACAUGCAAGUCGAGCGAACAGACGAGGAGCUUGCUCCUCUGACGUUAGCGGCGGACGGGUGAGUAACACGUGGAUAACCUACCUAUAAGACUGGGAUAACUUCGGGAAACCGGAGCUAAUACCGGAUAAUAUAUUGAACCGCAUGGUUCAAUAGUGAAAGACGGUUUUGCUGUCACUUAUAGAUGGAUCCGCGCCGCAUUAGCUAGUUGGUAAGGUAACGGCUUACCAAGGCAACGAUGCGUAGCCGACCUGAGAGGGUGAUCGGCCACACUGGAACUGAGACACGGUCCAGACUCCUACGGGAGGCAGCAGUAGGAAAUCUUCCGCAAUGGGCGAAAGCCUGACGGAGCAACGCCGCGUGAGUGAUGAAGGUCUUCGGAUCGUAAAACUCUGGUAUUAGGGAAGAACAAAUGUGUAAGUAACUAUGCACGUCUUGACGGUACCUGAUCAGAAAGCCACGGCUAACUACGUG